GGACUACUGGGGUUUCUAAUCCUGUUUGCUCCCCACGCUGUCGCGCCUCAGCGUCAGUGGUGGCCCAGCCAACCGCCUUCGCCACCGGUGUUCUUCCGGAUCUCUACGCAUUCCACCGCUACACCCGGAAUUCCAUUGGCCUCUACCACCCUCGAGCUCCAGAGUAUCCGCGGCCGACCCGAAGUUGAGCCUCGGGCUUUCACCACAGACUGCCAGAGCCGCCUACGCGCCCUUUACGCCCAGUGAUUCCGGACAACGCUCGCACCCUCCGUAUUACCGCGGCUGCUGGCAC
This 292-nucleotide ribosomal RNA is filed under the name uncultured bacterium. RNAcentral describes it as "partial 16S ribosomal RNA". The record is from RNAcentral.